UACGGGGGGGGUAAGCGUUGUUCGGAAUUACUGGGCGUAAAGGGCUCGUAGGCGGCCAACUAAGUCGGACGUGAAAUCCCUCAGCUUAACUGGGGAACUGCGUCCGAUACUGGAUGGCUUGGAUUUGGGAGAGGGAUGCGGAAUUCCAGGUGUAGCGGUGAAAUACGUAGAGAUUGGGAAGAACACCAGUGGCGAAGGCGGCUAUCUGGACGGUUUCUGACGCUAAGACGCGAAAGCGUGGGGAGCAAACAGG
RNAcentral lists this ribosomal RNA (253 nucleotides) under uncultured bacterium. Its description in RNAcentral is "partial 16S ribosomal RNA". It matches the Rfam family "Bacterial small subunit ribosomal RNA", at positions 524 to 776 of the family's 1533-position model. The record is from RNAcentral.